Molecule: long non-coding RNA, 231 nt
Filed under: Daucus carota (carrot)
Lineage: Eukaryota; Viridiplantae; Streptophyta; Magnoliopsida; Apiales; Apiaceae
Description: long non-coding RNA (DCAR_LNC003501)
Source: RNAcentral
CGUUGGAGCCAUGUUGAAGAUGUUAUCGAAACCUUACCAGGGAUCUAACAAUUGGUAUUGCGACCUAACAAUAUCGGGAAGCUUUAGCAUUUGGUAACACCAAAGGGACACGAUUGUCAGAUUUUACUCAUUACUUUUCCGUUUGGAACCUAUUCUUUCAGCAUAGGGACCAACCCAAUCAAAGUAAACCCUUCUUCUGAACUCUUUCUUCGACCCCAGCUUUAGCGUUGU